UAACGCGUUAGGAAUCUAUCCUUGAAUGGGGGACAACCGUGGAAACCUACGGCUAAUACCNCAUGAUGCCUGAGGGCCAAAGACGAAAGUCGUUUGAGGAGGAGCCUGCGUCUGAUUAGGUAGUUGGUGGGUAAAGGCCUACCCAAGCCUACGAUCAGUAGCUGGUCUGAGAGGAUGAUCAGCCACAUUGGGACUGAGACACGGCCCAAACUCCUACGGGAGGCAGCAGUGGGGAAUAUUGGACAAUGGGCGCAAGCCUGAUCCAGCAAUGCCGCGUGGGUGAAGAAGGUCUUCGGAUUGUAAAGCCCUUUUGGCGGGGACGAUGAUGACGGUACCCGCAGAAUAAGCUCCGGCUAACUUCGUG
RNAcentral lists this ribosomal RNA (364 nucleotides) under uncultured bacterium. Its description in RNAcentral is "bacterial SSU rRNA". It matches the Rfam family "Bacterial small subunit ribosomal RNA", at positions 111 to 507 of the family's 1533-position model. The record is from RNAcentral.